This 445-nucleotide ribosomal RNA is filed under the name uncultured bacterium. RNAcentral describes it as "partial 16S ribosomal RNA". It matches the Rfam family "Bacterial small subunit ribosomal RNA", at positions 354 to 796 of the family's 1533-position model. The record is from RNAcentral.
GUGAGGAAUAUUGCGCAAUGGAGGCAACUCUGACGCAGCCAUGCCGCGUGCAGGAAGAAGGCGCUACGCGUUGUAAACUGCUUUUAACCGGGAAGAAACCCCAGGACGUGUCCUGGGUUGACGGUACCGGAGGAAUAAGCACCGGCUAACUUCGUGCCAGCAGCCGCGGUAAUACGAAGGGUGCAAGCGUUAUCCGGAUUCAUUGGGUUUAACGGGUGCGUAGGCGGAGCGUUAAGUCAGUGGUGAAAUCCUGCAGCUUAACUGUAGACUUGCAAUUGAUACUGGCGCUCUUGAGUGCGCUUGAAGUGGGCGGAAUGUGCCGUGUAGCGGUGAAAUGCUUAGAUAUGGCACAGAACACCAAUUGCGAAGGCAGCUCACUAAGGCGAUACUGACGCUGAGGCACGAAAGCGUGGGGAUCGAACAGGAUUAGAUACCCCUGUAGUCC